UGCCACAGCCUAGCGCAGAGCGCAGAGCCUGCGGGUGUUGCUCAGACUCCUUCUUAUCAAAUUCCUGUGACUCGGUCGAGCAGCACUGGGUGGAGCUGAUGAAGCUGUGCAGCAGCUGACUCUGUAUGGCUCCCAUGACUUGUCACCGUGGACUGUACGGCAGCCACAUAGGCUGAGCUGUUAACCCAAGUGCUGCGUGGUUGCACUCAGCUGGAGGUCGUGACCUGGUUCUUCCUUACAGAAUCUGGAACUUAAACUUACAUGCUUCUUCUUGGGUCCUUUUCAGUUCAGGAAAUGGCCAGGUGAUUCAUUUGAGUCCAGAAAACCCUAUGGCUGACCUGGGAGACGUGCCUUCGUUCAACGAUGAGCAACAACUCAAAAAUGAGACAAGGCUUUUCUGAACCCAUUCCCAGAUUGCAGCCUGACUGAUGAGUGACACAUCCAGACUCUUCCCGCCCAUCACCUCUUUCCACCAGGAAGUUCUUGGGCAUAAUUCUAACAAGUGUUCUCCUAAGACUGUUCCAGAAAAGUGUGAAGGUGUGAAGAAGUAGAGGCUUCGAGGGUUAAUUAGGCCACCAGGGAGGAGCCUUCGUGAAUGGGAUUCCUGCCUUCACCAAAGGGACCCAGGGAGUUCCCUCCCUUCUUGUGCAGUGUGAGGACUCAGUGAGAAGAUAGCCGUCCAUGAUCCAGGAAGCAGGUCCUCACCAAUACCUUGGUCUUGGAUCUCCCACCUACAGAACUGGAGAAGACACCAUUUACCAGACACCAGCACCUCAGCCUUGGACUUCCCAGCCUUCAGAACCAUGGGAAAUAAAUUACCAGUCCGUGAUACUCUGGACACCUCUUUUGGAGUCAGUAAGUCUUCUGUGGGGAGUCUUUGUAAUCCGUAAUAUCCUGUUUCUGACCAUGUUUCGACCUCUACCUCUGGCAUCCCUUGAUGAUUCUUCACCAGGCACUGUUUUGGGCAUUGGGCAUUAGUGCCGAGGAAGACAUUCUAGCCUGGGGCUUCCGUACUCCCUUUGGAGACCCUAUGUAAUAUGGAUACCGGGUCAGCUGUUUUAGCCAGAGCAGUAUCCCUCACUGUGGGCCCAGCGUCUUCCUCCAUCUAACACAGAGUUCUGGACGAAGGCAGGCUUGGGGCUGUCUAGGGGGUGCCCCUCGGUUUCUGGCUAGGCUGUGUAUUCAUCUCCAUCCUGCUGCACUCAGGGUUAGAAGCUAUUUAUGAGGCUGUUUAGGAUUUUGUCUGUUUCCUACUAGUCCCAGUGGAGCAUCAGGAAGUAGGGAUGGGAUUAAGAAUUGUGUUACCCUUUCCAACUGCCCUGCCCCACCUCGGGAUCACUUUUUCCCCUUAGCCAUCACUCUCUGGUGUUUAUCGCUCUUUAAAGUUGUUCACGUUACUCUCAUUUCCCUGUUAGGUUCCUGAUAGUGAAGUUUCAGAUAAUCUAGGAGAAUUCCCUCUGCAGGCUUAAUCACUUAACCAGGUAAGAUAACAUGUGGACGGGUUCCAAGAAUUCAACAUGGACCUCUCGGUGGGCCAUUAUGCUAUCUAAAUAAUUUGCCCAAGAUCACAGGACCGGUAAGUGACAAAAUGUACACACACACACACACACACACAC
This is a long non-coding RNA of Sciurus carolinensis (gray squirrel), 1616 nucleotides long. RefSeq lists it as uncharacterized. The transcript is spliced from 5 exons. The record is from RefSeq and is a predicted model, not a curated record. NCBI's taxonomy places the organism in Eukaryota, Metazoa, Chordata, Mammalia, Rodentia, Sciuridae.